Molecule: ribosomal RNA, 233 nt
Filed under: uncultured bacterium
Lineage: Bacteria
Description: partial 16S ribosomal RNA
Rfam family: Bacterial small subunit ribosomal RNA
Source: RNAcentral
CGGGACGGGUGAGUAAUGCUUGGGAAUCUGGCUUAUGGAGGGGGAGUAAUACGGGAAACUGUAGCUAAUACCGCGUAAUAUCGAAAGAUUAAAGUGUGGGACCUUCGGGCCACAUGCCAUAGGAUGAGCCCAAGUGGGAUUAGGUAGUUGGUGAGGUAAAGGCUCACCAAGCCGACGAUCUCUAGCUGGUCUGAGAGGAUGACCAGCCACACUGGGACUGAGACACGGCCCAG